This 341-nucleotide long non-coding RNA is filed under the name Brassica rapa (field mustard). Its description in RNAcentral is "long non-coding RNA (BRAP_LNC002585)". Lineage: Eukaryota; Viridiplantae; Streptophyta; Magnoliopsida; Brassicales; Brassicaceae. The record is from RNAcentral.
GAUGAAGUUCCAAGAGGUUUAGAACCUUUGUUGUCUCACUUUCUCUAGAGAAUAGCGAUUUUAUAGUGGUUAGUCCACCUAUUUUGGAAUAUUACGAAGUUUUACUAAAUUAUUUGAUAAAAAAAAUAAAAAAAAUGUCUAUGUACCAUGAAAGAGAGGUUAAUAUAUAUUAACACUAAUAUGGAAUGUGUUUAUAAAUUUUAAAACAACACUACAUAUCAUUGGCUUCAGUUUAUAGAGCAUUUACUGAAAAACUUAAUAUUUUCGUAGGGGUUAACACAUAGAUUUUGAGAAAAAAUUAAAAAUAUAACAAUAUUGUUUUAAUGCAUAGUUGCAUCCUG